UUGAUAUUAGAUUGACGCAAAAACAAUUGUGGUUUUUGCCAUUACUUUCAAUGACAAAAACUGCAAUCACUUUUGCACCAAC
RNAcentral lists this microRNA precursor (82 nucleotides) under Cebus imitator (Panamanian white-faced capuchin). RNAcentral's name for it is "miRNA (ENSCCAG00000004331.1)". The record is from RNAcentral. Lineage: Eukaryota; Metazoa; Chordata; Mammalia; Primates; Cebidae.